CAACCCUACGGGAGGCAGCAGUGGGGAAUAUUGCACAAUGGGGGGAACCCUGAUGCAGCGACGCCGCGUGAGUGAAGAAGUAUUUCGGUACGUAAAGCUCUAUCAGCAGGGAAGAAAAAAGGACGGUACCUGAGUAAGAAGCCCCGGCUAACUACGUGCCAACAGCCGCGGUAAUACGUAGGGGGCAAGCGUUAUCCGGAUUCACUGGGUGUAAAGGGAGCGUAGACGGCGACGCAAGUCUGGAGUGAAAGCCCUGG
Molecule: ribosomal RNA, 257 nt
Filed under: uncultured bacterium
Lineage: Bacteria
Description: partial 16S ribosomal RNA
Rfam family: Bacterial small subunit ribosomal RNA
Source: RNAcentral